RNAcentral lists this ribosomal RNA (305 nucleotides) under uncultured bacterium. RNAcentral describes it as "bacterial SSU rRNA". It matches the Rfam family "Bacterial small subunit ribosomal RNA", at positions 335 to 656 of the family's 1533-position model. The record is from RNAcentral.
CUCCCUACGGGGGGCAGCAGUCGGGAAUAUUGCGCAAUGGAGGAAACUCUGACGCAGUGACGCCGCGUGCAAGAAGAAGGUUUUCGGAUUGUAAACUGCUUUAGACAGGGAAGAAAAAAGACAGUACCUGUAGAAUAAGCUCCGGCUAACUACGUGCCAGCAGCCGCGGUAAUACGUAGGGGGCAAGCGUUAUCCGGAUUUACUGGGUGUAAAGGGGGCGCAGACGGCGAUGCAAGCCAGGAGUGAAAGCCCGGGGCCCAACCCCGGGACUGCUCUUGGAACUGCGUGGCUGGAGUGCAGGAGGG